GCAGAAUAAUAAUCCAUAAUCUCUGGGUGAAGAUGCUACAGAGUUACCACCAUGUUUACUCUGCAUGGCAAGCUAUCAGGUUCAUAGUAAACUAGAGAAAGAGAUCAGUUUUAUAUCCCUAAUCUUGUUUGAACUCAGAUAGUUUCCUUUUUCUCCUUGCCCCUAGUGGGAUAAGGAGAAAGGGCUCAACUGGAAGACAAUAGCUGUGGUUGCAGAAGACAAUGGACUUAACUUCUGAAAAUGAUAUCAGGAGAUUUUUUCCCAAGGACCAUUGAGGAAACAUCCUUGGAAUGGUCAUCAAAGUUUUGCCUUUGACCACUGCAGCAUACUGAGAAUGAUGGGAUGCUGCCGGAAGAAUUCUUCCAGUUGGGGAACAUGCAAGGCAAUAAGCAAAAGAUACGACCUUUGGAGAGAGUCAGCUCUCCUGCAGGCUAUGAAAGAUAUCAAAGCUAAAGUGGCUGAGGUGGAACACGUUGACAGAAUGGUCAAGAAGCUGAAAGCAAGCGUUCAGGACACACAGACAGAACACGAGUCAGAAGCCCAAGAAUUUUUCCAGCCAGGAUGAAAAACUUCUAAUGGAAUCCAGCUUGAAAGCAAGUCAAGAACAGCUAAGUGAGCGAAGAGUAGGAAGAGCUCUCCCAGUUCACUAGAAAAUCACAGAGCUGAAGUCACUGAAAGAAUGCAUUAUAGAUUCUCAUGAAGAAAUUAGUGAUUGAAUGUGAGUUAUUGUUUGUUUUUAUGUUUCAGUAAGGGUGGAAGGGUAGCCAGAAGUCAGCAAUAAUUCUUUUCGCUUUGUGCAGUAGGAUUUGUUUUGUAUUGGUACUGUGCUGGGUAAAUGUCUGACUAAUUUAUUGAUUAAAUGAACUAUUGAGCAAUUGAUAAACUCAUUUUUAAAAUAGCCUUUUCUUUUAUCACUNGAAGUGUGUUAACCAGCAGGCCUUUUAAUGCUCUCUUCUACCCCACCGCCAAUGUAAAAAUCUGGUGUUGAGGAGAAAAUAGUUUUCUUUAUUGUCUAUCUGCCAGUGGCAUUCUCAUCUUUCUCUCUUUUUGGGGGUCUGAAGGUUACAUAUGGCUCUUAUUGUCUGCUUUUUUUGGUUCAAGAAGCUGCCUCAAAGCAAGACGCUCCGAAAUUAAAGCAAACUUUAGGGUUUGAGCUUCUAGUCAGAGUAACAAGUAACAUAUGAAGUUGCUAAAAUGAACUCAAGUACUAAUCUUAAUAGAUAGUCCUCCCCCAUCAAAAAAAGUUAAAACUUUCAGAGAGGUUUCUUUUUUUUUAUGUUUAUGACCAUAAAUUGACUUAUUGUUCUGUUUUCUAACAAAUGUUAUGAACAGUAUCCAUCUCAGCUAAAUCCCCUUGUCUCUUAUAUAAAAAACCUGAACAAUGCAUUCUUGUUGCUAAAUUUAUUAUAUUUUACAUUCAUUUCGGUAACUUCGUCAGACACUUUUUGCAAUAUAAUAAAGUGAGGCUAAACUUCA
This 1476-nucleotide long non-coding RNA is filed under the name Salvator merianae (Argentine black and white tegu). RNAcentral describes it as "lncRNA (ENSSMRG00000010990.1)". The record is from RNAcentral. Lineage: Eukaryota; Metazoa; Chordata; Lepidosauria; Squamata; Teiidae.